CGCAGCCGCGGUAAUUCCAGCUCCAAUAGCGUAUAUUAAAGUUGUUGCAGUUAAAAAGCUCGUAGUUGAAUUUCGGGAUUAAUUUACUGGUCGUGCUAUUGUACGUACUGGUUUUAUUGAUUCCUCCCUUCUGACGAACUAUGAUGUCAUUAAUUUGGUGUCAUAGGGAAUCAGGACUGUUACUUUGAAAAAAAUUAGAGUGUUUAAAGCAGGCUCACGCUUGAAUACAUUAGCAUGGAAUAACGGAAUAGGACGUUUGAUUCUAUUUUGUUGGUUUCUAGGAUCGACGUAAUGAUUAAUAGGGAUAGUUGGGGGCAUUAGUAUUCAAUUGUCAGAGGUGAAAUUCUUGGAUUUAUUGAAGACUAACUACUGCGAAAGCAUUUGCCAAGGAUGUUUUCAUUAAUCAAGAACGAAAGUUAGGGGAUCGAAGACGAUCAGAUACCGUCGUAGUCUUAACCAUAAACUAUGCCGACUAGGGAUCGGAUGAUGUUAAUUUUUUAAUGACUCAUUCGGCGCCUUA
Molecule: small RNA, 520 nt
Filed under: uncultured Glomus
Lineage: Eukaryota; Fungi; Glomeromycota; Glomeromycetes; Glomerales; Glomeraceae
Description: SSU rRNA
Rfam family: Eukaryotic small subunit ribosomal RNA
Source: RNAcentral